AUUUAAAGCUUUUGAUUUGAUUGCAAAAUUGCCCUUUGGAAAGGUUAUCUUAAUUUAUAUUUCUAUCUUGUUUCUAAGUUUCUUCACUAGUGAUGGAAGAGUUAUCUUUUUUAAAAAAGUCUUUGAUAAAAUCAUUCUGGAAUUUUAGAGUGCUAAGAAGACAGAUACUUAAUUAGAUGAUGAGGUCCAUCUGUAUAAGUGGCAUAAACCAUAUUAAUGAAGAGAUCACCAGACCUUAUCGUAGGGUAGUGCCUUACUUGUGUGAAAUAAGAAUGUAGUUGGUACCUCCCACUUGGUAAGUCCCUGUGUCGGAGUGCAGCAUCAGUCCUUUCCCCCAAGCUUGUUUAUAUUAGCAGACACCCUUGUGGUUGUUUCUCACUUGUUUCUGUUUUAUUUCCUAACAAGAUAGCCACUGUUUAGGAGGGCCCUGACUGAGAAAGAGGUUAGCAUCAGGUGUUUUGCGUGAGUGAGGAACACAGGAGAGAACUCAACAAACACGUGAAAUAACAGAAGCAGACUUAUUACUUACGGAUCCCAGCAAGAAUAGGACAGUGUGCCUCGCAAGGCCAGGGGAAGGGGAGAGCCAUCAGCAGAUGGGAGCAGGAGAGAGGAAACAACAGACCUGGGAGCCUAAGUCUUUCCUGGGGUGCAAGUUGUCACCCAAGUAGGUUUCCCAUGGGAAGUUGUAAUUGGUGGGUUUAGAGCAAACAGGGAGGAGUCCCAUGGAUUCAUGCUGCAACUAAGAGGGGGUCUCUGAAGCAUGCCUGUGCAGUCUCUGUGGGUGUGGGGGUCAGUAUGGUUAGUCAAGAAAGAUGUAUGUAGCUGUCUUACAGUGUGAGGCAACACUAUACUGGAUCCAGCACACUGAGGAACUGGGAGGAGACGGAGCCUUGGAAUCUGUAUUGAGGGUGAUUAGCUCUGCUUCUGACAUCAGAAUGUUACACUUCGACUCAAAAUGGACACCGAAGCAACAUAAAAUGAAACUGAAAAAAAAAGACUGUGGCCAAUGCCCUCUCCUCACUCCUGACACUGGCAUCCCUUUGUGGUCCUGCAUGGCACACGGGACUUCACUUUUGCAGGAGAACUGUGAGUAG
Long non-coding RNA from Papio anubis (olive baboon), 1094 nucleotides. The record is from Ensembl. Lineage: Eukaryota; Metazoa; Chordata; Mammalia; Primates; Cercopithecidae.